UACGUAGGGUGCAAGCGUUGUCCGGAAUUAUUGGGCGUAAAGAGCUCGUAGGCGGUCUGUCGCGUCGGCUGUGAAAACCCGAGGCUCAACCUCGGGCCUGCAGUCGAUACGGGCAAACUAGAGUACUGCAGGGGAGACUGGAAUUCCUGGUGUAGCGGUGAAAUGCGCAGAUAUCAGGAGGAACACCGGUGGCGAAGGCGGCUACCUGGACCGGAACUGACGCUGAGGCGCGAAAGCGUGGGGAGCAAACAGG
Molecule: ribosomal RNA, 253 nt
Filed under: uncultured bacterium
Lineage: Bacteria
Description: partial 16S ribosomal RNA
Rfam family: Bacterial small subunit ribosomal RNA
Source: RNAcentral